UCAGGAUGAACGCUGGCGGCGUGCUUAACACAUGCAAGUCGAACGGAGUAAUAUGAAGUUUCGGACAGAUUACUACUAGUGGCGGACGGGUGAGUAACGCGCGGGUAACCUACCUCAUACAGGGGGAUAACAGUUGGAAACGACUGCUAACACCGCAUAACAAGUUGGGACCGCAUGAUCCUAACUUCAAAUAUUUAUAGGUAUGAGAUGGGGCCCCGCGUCUGAUUAGCUAGUUGGUGGGGUAAUGGCCUACCAAGGCGACGAUCAGUAGCCGGCUUGAGAGAGUGACCGGCCACAUUGGGACUGAGACACGGCCCAAACUCCUACGGGAGGCAGCAGUGGGGAAUAUUGGACAAUGGGGGCAACCCUGAUCCAGCGACGACCCGCGUGAGUGAAGAAGUAUUUCGGUAUGUAAAGCUCUAUCUAGCAGGGAAGAUAAUGACAGUACCUGACUAAGAAGCCCCGGCUAACUACGUGCCAGCAGCAGC
RNAcentral lists this ribosomal RNA (488 nucleotides) under uncultured bacterium. RNAcentral describes it as "bacterial SSU rRNA". It matches the Rfam family "Bacterial small subunit ribosomal RNA", at positions 24 to 518 of the family's 1533-position model. The record is from RNAcentral.